GGAUGUGAGGGCCAUCUGGGCUUGACGUCUGUUACCCCAUUGACCAUCAGGGUUGAUGCAACUGAUCUGCCUGGCUCGGCAAGUGUCUCCUCCCUCCCUUGGUGCUCCAUGUGCAUCCCUCCCGAAGCUGCAUGCUUGGUGGCAGAGGAUGACCACCCCCAUUAGAGGAGGACCAUUCUUUGGUCAAGGGUAUACUAGUACUGCUAGGACCUCCAAACAAGCUCCCAAGUUCUGGGCUUACAGGCAAUCUCCACCAUACCCAGCUUUGGGGGGAUAUUUUUUAUCCAAAUCAU
This is an unclassified non-coding RNA of Cavia porcellus (domestic guinea pig), 293 nucleotides long. Its record names the gene 7SK. It matches the Rfam family "7SK RNA". From Rfam's summary of the family: 7SK was discovered as an abundant small nuclear RNA in the mid-70s but a possible function has only recently been suggested. The record is from Ensembl. NCBI's taxonomy places the organism in Eukaryota, Metazoa, Chordata, Mammalia, Rodentia, Caviidae.